Molecule: long non-coding RNA, 1953 nt
Filed under: Lathyrus oleraceus (garden pea)
Lineage: Eukaryota; Viridiplantae; Streptophyta; Magnoliopsida; Fabales; Fabaceae
Description: Pisum sativum (pea) long non-coding RNA (PSAT_LNC031992)
Source: RNAcentral
AGGAAUUGAAAAUCACCAACCUACAAGGUCGAGGUUCACCCUGGUGAUUGCUGAAGGUUGAAGAAGAUGCUUACAAAGAGAAAACUAGAGGUAUUAACAGGUAUGUGCUUCAAACUCUCCAACUAUUUAUGUUGCAGAAAUUUCUUCUCUUCUUCUUCUUCUGAGAUCUUUAGUCUGUAGGAUUAAAUUGGUGUUGCUAUGUGUUAUUAUGGUAGUGUGUAGGAUUGAAGAGUGGUUGAGAGUGAUGAGAUUGAUUGAGAAUUUCCAGAUGGAGAAUUCAGAGAGAGUGAUUGACUGAGAAGUUGUAGAAUGAAUUUUUGUUGAUGAUUGAGAGUGGAGUAAAGAUUAUAUAGAGUGCGAUCAUAACAAAAUUGGGUAGUGGAAUUAGGGCAGGUAGUUAAGAGUUUGGGCACGGUUACUGUUAAUUAAUCUCAUGAGGAAAUUAGAUGGAUCAGUUAACUCUGUUAACUUGCUAUUAGAGUGAACUCGCAGUUACUGAACGAAGAUGUUAGAAUGAGUUAGUUUAUUUGACAGUUAGGUUAGUUAGAAUCUGAAUUGAAAAUGAAAACAGUUAGUGAAUUAGUUGAUUGGUUAAUUGGAAUUGAACUUAACGUUAGAAUGAUUUAGGAUGAUUAAGUGUUAGUGAAAUGAAAAGAGGUUGAACUGUUAGUGUUGAGUUUGGAUUUGAAUUUUAGUUAGUAAAAUGGAAUGUUAGUGAAUUGAAUUGAAAUUUGGAUUGUUCAAGUGUUAAUGGUGAUGAGGUUAAUUUUUGCUUUAGGCUUAUCCAUAACAUGGCCCUGUUAGUAUUAUUAAACUUUAAAAAACAGUUACAAACUAUAUGCUAAAUUAGCUUGAAUUGAUUGUUAACAUGACUGCUAUUUAUUGAAUUCAAAAACUGGUUAUGAAAUGAGCAUUUAUGGACUAUUAUAGAAUUAGCAUGUUAGGACUAUUAGCUUUUGCUAGCAGACUUGUUAUGGACUCGCUACUAAGUGAAUCUGUAAAUGAAUUGAAGUUAAAAUAAUUGACUGGUAUGACACAUUUAUUGUAUUAAUACUGGUAUGUGUUGAUUGUUGAUCAGAAAUUUGAAAUGUAUUGAAUUAAUCAUGAAACUAAUGAGUUAGUUUAGAGAGGUUGUUAGUUAAUGCUGCUACUGUUAUGAAUGACAAUGUGUGGGUGACACUUUAUGUUUGAAGAUUGUUAGAUGGUUAUAGAAUUAGUUCAUGAGUACUAUCUGUUUUGGAACCUAAUGCAAAUUGGCUAGGUGGCUUGAGGUUUAGAAGAACUGGUUAUAAUUUCCAUGCAUGAACUAGCUAAGUUGUAUUGAUGUUUGAACUGGUAUGGACCAUCAAUAGAUCAUUGAGUUAACUGCUAUGUAGUUUUGUAUUGAAGUGUACAUGGUAUGUUAUAUUGAUGCCCAUGUGUGUUUUUCGAUUGACAUGUUCAUAUGUGUGUAGGUGUUUGUGUAUGCAAAUUAUUCAUGGACAUUGGUUUAUUAUAUGUGUGAAUGUAACAUGUUGUAUAAAUGCAGGACUAAUGGAUAUGUGAGGUGGUUUGGCAUGGAAUGAAAUAUCACCAUAAUUCAUAAAGACUUGAUCAAAGCAUGUAGGAUAUUAAUAUGAUCAUGGCACAUGAAGGCAACAUCAUGGGGGCUCUUUACAAAAAAGAUGGCUUAUGAAUGAAGAAAAGUGGGGACUAAGUCCUAGGGUUAGAUAGUUGACUUCAGUCAACUUGUUUGACUAAAAAGCCAACAGUUGACCAAAGAUCAACCCUAGGUCAAAAACAUGUAAAAGAAUGUGUAGUUGUAAUUUUGGAUUUUUGUAAUAUGGAUUGGAUGCUUUGUAAUGAAAUUGGCCUUUGAAAUGAAUGAUGUCUUGUGCUUCAAAAACUAAUCUCCCUCCAAAAGUUGAAUUUGAAAAAUUGAAUUUGAAUUGCACUUGAAAACUUGACUAUGAA